AUUGCUCACGUGCAAUAAAGCAAGGAGUCCAGUAUUCCGAUGCAGCAGAGCUGAGCGCCAGAACAUCUUGCAUCCCUCUGCAUAAACUUGGCCCCGGGCUCUCCACCGGGCACCAGAUGGACUCUUAUUUUCUGUACAGUCAGGACCCAAAGACUAUGCUUCGCAGAGCAUUCUGGGAAGUGUAGUCUGGGCCUGUCGACUCGCCCACUUCCGCUUCCGGCCAGCGCACAGCGGUAUGGAGGUUUCCAGGUUAGGGGUCAAAACCGAGCUGUAGUCGCCGGCCUACACCAGAGCCACAGCAAGGAGGGAUCCGGGCUGCGUCUGCAAUCUACACGACAGCUCACGGCAACGCCGGAUCCCAAACCCACUGGGCAAGGCCAGGGACCGAACCUUCAACCUCAUGGUUCCUAGUCGGAUUCGUUCACCACUGCGCCACCACUGGAACUCCGGUAUCGUUUCUUAAGAGAUGCCUUGCUUUCCUGGGAGUGUUCUUUGCCAGAGAGAAUUACAAAGAAGAGGAAAGACUAAACCCUGGCCUCUUGUCAUUAGAGCCCCAGGUCGGCCUUCUCAAGCCUCAGCCCUUCCCAGGAUGGGGAAGACAAGACCAAGUUUCAGGUGGGUGGAGUUUUUCUCCAGAAGUAACAGUUUAAGACAUCAGAGAGUCAACGUACCUCCCUCCCUUGGAAAAAGAAAAAAAAUUGAUUGGGCAAGCUCCUCACAUAACUCUGUGCAUUUAUCUCCCAGUAGCGACGAGAGAGGUCGGAUGAUCCUGUCUGAGAGAUGAAGAAAUGCAUGUAAAUCCUAGGUUUGAACCCAG
RNAcentral lists this long non-coding RNA (817 nucleotides) under Sus scrofa (pig). RNAcentral describes it as "lncRNA (ENSSSCG00070028427.1)". The record is from RNAcentral. Lineage: Eukaryota; Metazoa; Chordata; Mammalia; Artiodactyla; Suidae.